UACAAAGAAGGUAGUUCUGCCUCAGUAACUAUGAUGCCAUGGUUAUUUCAAUAGGAGUAUUUGUUCAUUUUUGAUAGCACUCAUUGUCCACUCUCGAGGUCAAAACCUGAAAUGAUUGACGCUUUCUUUUCUUUUAUUUAAUUCAUUUUUACCUGUUGGUGUGGCUUGAAAGGGCAACAGAUUUUCUUAAGAUGGAGGGGCUCAAGUCCGCUCAUGGGCUACCGAAUUUAAUCGAGGAAUUUUAUGAUGUUUCCAUGGUGGGUUCUGUGAUGAGAAUUCUCAUAUCACAAUAUUUGUUAUCAUCAAUUAAGACUAAUAAAUGUUUGUUCCUUUUUUCUCUUUUAGAGUAUUUGUCGGAUCAGUAUGGAAGGAAGAAGCCAUAUCCAAGAUGUUUUUGUGCUGCGAUUUGGAACGCUGGUGAUUGACACCGAUGUUUCAUUUCGCCUACGACUGGAGGCAAUCAGAACAAUUAACUCAAUCCUUGACGGAGCA
Megalops cyprinoides (Indo-Pacific tarpon) is the source of this 492-nucleotide long non-coding RNA. RefSeq lists it as uncharacterized. The transcript has 3 exons. The record is from RefSeq and is a predicted model, not a curated record. Lineage: Eukaryota; Metazoa; Chordata; Actinopteri; Elopiformes; Megalopidae.